GACGAACGCUGGCGGCGUGCUUAACACAUGCAAGUCGAACGGAAAGGCCCUGCUUUUGUGGGGUGCUCGAGUGGCGAACGGGUGAGUAACACGUGAGUAACCUGCCCUUGACUUUGGGAUAACUUCAGGAAACUGGGGCUAAUACCGGAUAGGAGCUCCUGCUGCAUGGUGGGGGUUGGAAAGUUUCGGCGGUUGGGGAUGGACUCGCGGCUUAUCAGCUUGUUGGUGGGGUAGUGGCUUACCAAGGCUUUGACGGGUAGCCGGCCUGAGAGGGUGACCGGCCACAUUGGGACUGAGAUACGGCCCAGACUCCUACGGGAGGCAGCAGUGGGGAAUAUUGCACAGUGGGCGGAAGCCUGAUGCAGCAACGCCGCGUGCGGGAUGACGGCCUUCGGGUUGUAAACCGCUUUCGCCUGUGACGAAGCGUGAGUGACGGUAAUGGGUAAAGAAGCACCGGCUAACUACGUGCCAGCAGCCGCGGUGAUACGUAGGGUGCGAGCGUUGUCCGGAUUUAUUGGGCGUAAAGGGCUCGUAGGUGGUUGAUCGCGUCGGAAGUGUAAUCUUGGGGCUUAACCCUGAGCGUGCUUUCGAUACGGGUUGACUUGAGGAAGGUAGGGGAGAAUGGAAUUCCUGGUGGAGCGGUGGAAUGCGCAGAUAUCAGGAGGAACACCAGUGGCGAAGGCGGUUCUCUGGGCCUUUCCUGACGCUGAGGAGCGAAAGCGUGGGGAGCGAACAGGCUUAGAUACCCUGGUAGUCCACGCUGUAAACGGUGGGUACUAGGUGUGGGGUCCAUUCCACGGGUUCCGUGCCGUAGCUAACGCUUUAAGUACCCCGCCUGGGGAGUACGGCCGCAAGGCUAAAACUCAAAGGAAUUGACGGGGCCCCGCACAAGCGGCGGAGCAUGCGGAUUAAUUCGAUGCAACGCGUAGAACCUUACCUGGGUUUGACAUGGAUCGGGAGUGCUCAGAGAUGGGUGUGCCUCUUUUGGGGUCGGUUCACAGGUGGUGCAUGGCUGUCGUCAGCUCGUGUCGUGAGAUGUUGGGUUAAGUCCCGCAACGAGCGCAACCCUUGUUCACUGUUGCCAGCACGUUAUGGUGGGGACUCAGUGGAGACCGCCGGGGUCAACUCGGAGGAAGGUGGGGAUGACGUCAAGUCAUCAUGCCCCUUAUGUCCAGGGCUUCACGCAUGCUACAAUGGCUGGUACAGAGAGUGGCGAGCCUGUGAGGGUGAGCGAAUCUCGGAAAGCCGGUCUCAGUUCGGAUUGGGGUCCGCAACUCGACCUCAUGAAGUCGGAGUCGCUAGUAAUCGCAGAUCAGCAACGCUGCGGUGAAUACGUUCCCGGGGCU
RNAcentral lists this ribosomal RNA (1346 nucleotides) under uncultured bacterium. RNAcentral describes it as "partial 16S ribosomal RNA". It matches the Rfam family "Bacterial small subunit ribosomal RNA", at positions 28 to 1381 of the family's 1533-position model. The record is from RNAcentral.